RNAcentral lists this long non-coding RNA (485 nucleotides) under Marmota monax (woodchuck). Lineage: Eukaryota; Metazoa; Chordata; Mammalia; Rodentia; Sciuridae. The record is from RNAcentral.
CCAGGUCUCUGCCCUCUUCCCAAUUCUUCAUCCCCCUUGGGAGAGGUUGGGGGCCCGCUGGGCUGGGUGUCAAGAUGUGAAAGCUUGUGGAUGCUCCAGGGACAUCUAGUGACCCCUCAAGGGCGGUUCUGCCGUCCCUGUGUCGCUAAAUCAGCCGGGGUCUGCUGUGUGCGAGAAGCACCCUCGAGCUCACAGCUGAGUAACUUGACUACUUUACCUGGGAAUUUCAGACCCUGAGAGCUCUCUUGGGUUUUAUGUGCAGGUUCUGUGACCACUCAUUACUGUAUCGGAACUCAUCAGGUACCCAUUUAUAAAUAGCACUGACCUGUCUGUAUAUUGACCCAUCACUAACUCGUCCCCUAGAACCCAGCAUAUGUAGCAUUGUAUUGCAAUUUCCCUGGCUGACUUGUGUUUUGCACUGAUGAAUUUUGACAGGGUAAUCGCCACUUUACUUGUGCAAUACUGCUGUAAAUAAGUGCAGAUUU